Unclassified non-coding RNA from Rhipicephalus microplus (southern cattle tick), 1275 nucleotides. The record is from RefSeq and is a predicted model, not a curated record. NCBI's taxonomy places the organism in Eukaryota, Metazoa, Arthropoda, Arachnida, Ixodida, Ixodidae.
UGCAGCUGAUGUAACUCAGAGAAGGUAUACUACGCAGUGUUCUCGCUCCAAUAGGGAGGGACCUUGCCGUGAUCUUGGAAUUGUUCACCUUCAUGAUGAUCGCUUUUUUUUCUGAAAUGGCAUUUCAGACGCGCUCGCUCAAAAACAGAAAAAGAGAAGCGUAAUUAGCUUGUUUCUAUUGUGAAUUUGGUGGAACCGUAAAGCUCACACUGCCUUAUUCUAUCGCAGUGCUGGUGACAGUAGGUGUUACCAACGUAUAGGGUUACGGCAUCUUGUGUCGACAACGUAGGCAAAAUUCAUUUUAGGUAAUAUUAAUACACGUUAAUCACACCAUCGAACAUGAGCAUUUCUUCAAAAGGGCCGGCUAUUCUUCAACGCUAGAAAUUUUAUGCGGUCAGAAUUGCAUUCAGUGACUAUACUGCUAUCCCUUUCUGUGUAGUUGUUUCCUGGUGCCUCUUCUGGGUAGGGGGGGGGAGGGGGAGGGUGCUCAAUCAAUCAGUCGAUCAGACAGGAUUUUGGUACUUUUAUACUAAGCCAGCAAACAAUGAAGCGCGACGUUUUGUGCGAUUGCGCAGGGGCACCCAAGUGCAAAAGUAGUGCAGUUUGAACUAUUUUACACAAAUUCAGCCUUCGAAGGUGUUGCAAAGGCACUCUGUUUGAUAUACUUCUCCGAGAAAAUGACGAAAAUGAAGAUGUUUGUGCUGCAUUGUAUGGUGCUCUGCGCAUUUGUCGUGCUUACUGCCAGCAUAAAACUACACAAGCCCCACAAAUUAUGCCCAACUCCGAGAAAAACACCCUGCUCUGCCAGUUUGAAGUUGAACUGUCUCUACGCAAGAGGAAUUCUGGUCGGAGUUAUAUGUGCCCGAAAUGAGAAACCAUGCGAGGAACUUUGGCAAUCAGUGUGUCGGUUGCCGUUGAUUCCCAAGUGCAAGUCAUACCGCAGGGAAUGCGUCUGCAGCUGUGUUGAAACCAGACCGGUAAAGCGGCCAAGCAUUAAUGAAGAACGUAGAGCACCACAAGCGGGAACCUUCUUGUAGCAGGAAAAAAAAAACGAGAGCGAAUUAUCGUUUUUGGCGAUAAUUGGAUGACUAAUUGCUUCUGUACAAUUAAUGAGCAUUCCAUCCAUCUUUUAUAAUCGUACCUAUAAGCAUACCAAAAAAUGAAUGUACAAUUCCACUAUGUUACUUAUAAUCAUGCUUGUUAAUUAGGUACAAAUCGAGUUUUUAUGGAUAACUAUGCACAAACUGAAACUGCGUAAGUCCUCGACAAUAAAGU